ACCUCAAAUCAGGUAGGACUACCCGCUGAACUUAAGCAUAUCAAUAAGCGGAGGAAAAGAAACUAACAAGGAUUCCCCUAGUAACUGCGAGUGAAGAGGGAAGAGCUCAAAUUUUGAAUCUGGCGGUCUUCGGCCGUCCGAGUUGUAAUCUAGAGAAGCGUUAUCCGCGCUGGACCGUGUACAAGUCUCCUGGAAGGGAGCGUCGUAGAGGGUGAGAAUCCCGUCUUUGACACGGACUACCAGUGCUAUGUGAUGCGCUCUCGACGAGUCGAGUUGUUUGGGAAUGCAGCUCAAAAUGGGUGGUAAAUUCCAUCUAAAGCUAAAUACAGGCGAGAGACCGAUAGCGAACAAGUACCGUGAGGGAAAGAUGAAAAGAACUUUGGAAAGAGAGUUAAACAGUACGUGAAAUUGCUGAAAGGGAAACGCUUGAUGUCAGUCGCGUCGGCCGGGGAUCAACCUUGCUUCUCCGCUGGGUGUACUUCCCGGUCGAUGGGUCAGCAUCAGCUUCGGUCGCCGUACAAGGGCGAGGGGAACGUGGCACUCUUCGGAGUGUGUUAUAGCCUUUCGUCGUAUGCGGCGGUCGGGACUGAGGAACUCAGCACGGCUUCCGUUUGUGCUUAGGAUGCUGGCAUAAUGGCCUUAAGCGACCCG
Molecule: ribosomal RNA, 651 nt
Filed under: Gastroboletus sp. JLF2137
Lineage: Eukaryota; Fungi; Basidiomycota; Agaricomycetes; Boletales; Boletaceae
Description: eukaryotic LSU rRNA
Rfam family: Eukaryotic large subunit ribosomal RNA
Source: RNAcentral